This 1561-nucleotide ribosomal RNA is filed under the name metagenome. RNAcentral describes it as "bacterial LSU rRNA". It matches the Rfam family "Bacterial large subunit ribosomal RNA", at positions 1384 to 2925 of the family's 2925-position model. The record is from RNAcentral.
CCGUUCCAAUACUUUGUUGCUAAGGGGCUGUGUUGACUUCGGUUAACACGAACCGACCCACAUUGUUGCGGAAAGCUAUAGGGGGACGCAGGAAGGUAGAUGAACCCGGUGAAUGGUAGAACCGGGGUAAGCGUGUAGGAGGAGGACCAGGCAAAUCCGGGCCUCAUAUACUCUGAGACGUGAUACCGAGCCGCUUCAGGCGAAGUCAUUAAUCCUAUGCUGCCUAGAAAAGCCCAGUAGCGAGUUGACAUGGUGCCCGUACCCCAAACCAACACAGGUGGACAGGUAGAGCAUACCAAGGCGAGUGGGAUAACUAUGGUUAAGGAACUCGGCAAAUUUCCUCCGUAACUUCGGGAUAAGGAGGACCCCAGUAGCGUGACGAGACUUGCUCUCCGAGCGUGAGGGGGUGGCACGAAAUUGAGGGAAGCGACUGUUUACCAAAAACACAGCAGCGUGCUAAGCCGUAAGGCGCUGUAUACGCUGUGACUCCCGCCCGGUGCUGGAAGGUUACGGGGAUGGGUUAGUCCUUUGGGACGAAGCUCUGAACCUAAGCCCCAGUAAACGGCGGCCGUAACUAUAACGGUCCUAAGGUAGCGAAAUUCCUUGUCGGGUAAGUUCCGACCUGCACGAAUGGAGUAACGACUUCCCUACUGUCUCAACCAUAGACCCAGCGAAAUUGAAGUACGAGUAAAGAUGCUCGUUAGCUGCAGAAGGACGGAAAGACCCCGUGGACCUUUACUAUAACUUGAUGUUGUGUUUUGUCAUAUGUUGUGUAGGAUAGGUGGGAGACAAGGAAGCAUGGACGCUAGUCUGUGUGGAGUCAUCGUUGAAAUACCACCCUGCAUAUGGUGAGGCUCUAACCUAGACCCGUUAUCCGGGUUGGGGACAGCGUCAGGCGGGUAGUUUAACUGGGGCGGUUGCCUCCUAAAGAGUAACGGAGGCGCCCAAAGGUUCCCUCAGCCUGGUUGGCAAUCAGGCGUCGAGUGCAAUGGCAAAAGGGAGCUUGACUGCGAGACCUACAAGUCGAGCAGGAGCGAAAGCUGGGCAUAGUGAUCCGGCGGUUGCGUGUGGAAGCGCCGUCGCUCAACGGAUAAAAGGUACCCCGGGGAUAACAGGCUAAUCUUGCCCAAGCGUCCAUAGCGACGGCAAGGUUUGGCACCUCGAUGUCGGCUCAUCGCAUCCUGGGGCUGAAGCAGGUCCCAAGGGUUGGGCUGUUCGCCCAUUAAAGCGGUACGCGAGCUGGGUUCAGAACGUCGUGAGACAGUUCGGUUCCUAUCCUCUGUAGCCGUAGGUGAAUUGAGGAAAGCUGUCCCUAGUACGAGAGGACCGGGACGGACGCAGCUCUCGUGUGCCAGUUGUCCUACCAAGGGCAUGGCUGGUUAGCGACCUGCGGAAAGGAUAACCGCUGAAAACAUCUAAGCGGGAAGCCUCUUCCAAGAUGAAUUCACCCACAGGGUUAACCUGGUAAGGCCCGUGGUAGACCACCACGUUGAUAGGCCGGAAGUGUAAGCGUGGCAACACGUUCAGCUGACUGGUACUAAUCGGCCGAGGGCUUGAAUCG